RNAcentral lists this long non-coding RNA (416 nucleotides) under Sinocyclocheilus grahami. RNAcentral describes it as "lncRNA (ENSSGRG00000050162.1)". Lineage: Eukaryota; Metazoa; Chordata; Actinopteri; Cypriniformes; Cyprinidae. The record is from RNAcentral.
GAAAGUCCCUCCAACAUAACAUACAUCCCGUGAGCUCCAUAUUGCUCCCAAAUUAUCCAGAGAGAUGAACAAAAAAAGAACACACUUCGCAAACAAUCUCCACAGAGGAAGAAGACAUCGAGAUUUUCCGAGAGGCACGUUCAUGCCGCUUCCAUAUAGACGUGUGUACGGACGACAGAGCCGACUGGAGAGUGAGAGAAAGUGGUCCAAUGAUAGGCCUACUUUACAUGCUCAACAGAUCCGGCCUUAUAAUCAGCAAGAAUUGCCAACAAACAGAGGUGAGGUGUAAUGGACUUUUAUGAAAUCACUAUGAGAAAAUAUUCUUCAGUAUGACUACUUUAUAUCUCAUUCAGUGCAUUUGAUUUUAAUUAGGUCAUGGCUCGAAUGUCAAGACACUUUUGAAUAUAAUUAUAAAG